GUCCAGCUAACGAGUCCGAAAUAGGACGAAAUGCGCGUCCUGGAU
Schistosoma curassoni is the source of this 45-nucleotide non-coding RNA. The record is from Rfam. Lineage: Eukaryota; Metazoa; Platyhelminthes; Trematoda; Strigeidida; Schistosomatidae.